UCCGGGUUCCCCAUUCGGACAUCUGCGGAUCAAUGCUCGUUUGCCAGCUCCCCGCAGCUUUUCGCAGGCUGCCACGUCCUUCAUCGCCUGUAAUCGCCAAGGCAUCCACCACAUGCACUUAGUCGCUUGACUCCAUAACUGUGAGCCCAGUUGGCAGUAGUCAGUUGACAGUUGUCAGUGACCACACCCCUAGGACACACCGUUACGGUUGUGUUUGCGCCAACUCGCACCAUCGGCCUUUUGUCUCCGACGGCGCAAGUAAAGAUACAACUCAACCCUUUUGCGUAUCGAGCUCUCAUCAAGCUCGAUACACCCUUACCUUCCAGAUUGUUAAAGAACGAUACAGCUCUCAGAACUACGCUCGUCUGCGAGCGCACUG
Molecule: unclassified non-coding RNA, 379 nt
Filed under: uncultured Ralstonia sp.
Lineage: Bacteria; Pseudomonadati; Pseudomonadota; Betaproteobacteria; Burkholderiales; Burkholderiaceae
Description: partial 16S-23S ribosomal RNA intergenic spacer
Source: RNAcentral